This is a long non-coding RNA of Brassica napus (rape), 3124 nucleotides long. RefSeq lists it as uncharacterized. The record is from RefSeq and is a predicted model, not a curated record. Lineage: Eukaryota; Viridiplantae; Streptophyta; Magnoliopsida; Brassicales; Brassicaceae. The transcript has 6 exons.
GUGUAUAUGUAUGUUAGGAAAAUUGGCUAGUCAAUGCAUUAUACGUUUUUUCCUUGUUAUACAUGCCAAUUACCCAACUUUUUUACAAGCAUUAUUGUAUAUUACAUAUAGAGUUUUGCUAAAAGUUAUAGUCUUUGACAAGCAAACAAAAACAAAUAAGUAAAAGUAGUGAUUGUGGGAUCACUUCACUAAAUCAGACAAAAAGCAAACCUUAUAAAUACCACACUUACAUAUUAAUGGGUCCUCUGUAUUUGACAUCUCUUACAUCUAUAAAUGUCCCUUAUUUUUACUUCACUGUAAGUUUGGACCCAAAUCUUGUCUUGUUGAAAAUUCUGCCAUUGAAAAUUUGAAAUCAAAAUCAAGUUAUAACUUUUCCCCUUCAUAGUCAUUUAGCUAUAAGAAAUGUGUAAAAAAAGAUGUCACAUCCGUCUCUUCGAAAUACAAGACAUCUUUAUCUAUUUCAAUCAUUUUCCACACUUUAUUGCAUGUGAAAAUAUCAUACUUUAGCUAAAGACCACAAAAACAUUCAAAUAAUUAUUCAACUUGUAGCCAGGUCAGUAUAUAUGGUCAACUCUAGAACAUAUUAUUUUUAAUUUCAUUUUAUUGACAAUCCUGGGAUAUCUAUACUAUACUAAAAGUUCUUAAACUAGAGUUUUUAGAGUGUCCACGUAGGCAUGGAUAUUCCAGCCACUCAUAAGUUAAGAAUGUGCCAUGUCAUCAGAUACAUUCUUGACUUGCUACUUGCCGAUUAGCCUCCGUCGACGAACAAAUUUUCUCGAUUCACCUUCUCCCACAAACUGUUACAUCUCUCACAAUGCCCAAUCGAAAUCAAUUCUGAAAACUGAAGAGAAUAUUAUGGCUUCUCAAUUACUUCACUGCUUGAUGCUCAUUAUAUAAGCUGUCCAGGAUAGUGAGUUAAGAUUCACCUCCUUAUCACAAGAAAGCCAAACCGAUAGCUGGUUCUGCCUUUCAGGAGAAUCGGCCAAACUCUCAGAAGAACAUCCAGUAGCUCCAGUAGCUGAGAACAGAAGCUGUGAUCUCAGCUCCAGGUAAAUUCAGAAAUCGUAUUAGGUUGUUCUGUUUCAUUCGAUUCUCUCGGCAAUAGAUGAAAUCGUCUGAAUAUGUUGAUGGAAACCCUAUGUUGCCGACCGAAUGACAUCCAUUGUUCAUGUAUCAAGUACUUUUAAUUUUCCCUUACACAAUCGUCAAUUGUACUUUCUUAUAUUCUAAACUUUAUUUUUUGAUGACAGCAACAGUAUGGUGCCAACACGUCACUCCAUAGCUUAUGAUGAUUACCUUCAGAUCAGUCUUUGUAAGUGAUUUUUUUUCAUUCAGCAGGAUGUGUGACAUGCUUUUCACAGAAACCUCUCACCCCCUUGCUGAAUUUAUCUUCUUUCUUGACAACCAUUGUCGACAAUGGAUUGACAUGGAGAGAAUAUACAUUAAGCUUUCUUGAUUGGAUCAGUGGUCGAGACGAUAGAGAGCCUUGCAUUGGAGACCACAAAGAGGCGUACCUAUAAAAUCUGUGUCUAUACAUUACUGAUUACUCCCUGGGCUCUUUGAAUAUUUCCUCCAUCCCUAAGUGUUGAUUAAGAGACAUACUUCUUGCUUCUCUUUGCUUAAUUAAUAACCAUUUCCAGCUUUUUGUAGAUAUCCAAAGGAAUCAGACAAAAUCAUGCUUGCGAAGCAGACUUCCUCAGGGUGAUUAAGUUGCUUAACUAGACAAUAAGAGUGGUGCUCGAGUAUAUGAAUGAUCCAAAGGAACAUGGAAAGAAGAGAGGAAAUAAUCUUCUUGCUUCUGUGCAAGUGAUUGGAAGGGAGUUUUGAGUACUCCUUAUGGAAGAACAUUGAUAGUCUCUGUCACUUCAGCUUUCACUGAACAUUGAUAAUCCAGGUUCGUUGGCUAAGGAUCCUGUCCAUUUUUUUACUCUAUUACAACGCUGUUACCGUAAUGCCUCCCAGGACAACUUGGUCUUACUUUUUUUACAGCCCUUUUGGGUCCACUUGGUUCUUACAAGUUAAAAUAUUUAGCAAUCGUCAAUAGCAGAGCUGAACAUUUGUUCGAAGUGAUCAACUCGAGAGAUGAUGUGCUUAGGACGUGGAUGAGACGGUGUAUGUAUCUCAGGUAUGUGGAAGCUAGAUUAGCGGAUAGGAUUCUCUAUGCAGAUGAGAUAUUGAAAUAUGGGUUUUGCUUGAAUGUGAUUAAGACUUCUUUAUGUCCUUUGGAAGUUUUGAAGAAUAUGCAGGAGGAGGCUGUGAGGGAUGAUGAUAUUGUCUUCAAGGGUCUACCAUCCACUGAGCCAUUCUAGGUGUUCAAUGGGAUUAGUAAAUACUGUAAGAAGAGGGUUACAACUCCUGGUAUCAUCUCUCUGGCCAAGGGUGUGAAAGCAUAGUUUGAACCUCAUCCUCCGAUUGUUACUCAUGCUUGAAUGAUCUAACGAGCAUAGAGAUUCACCAAAAAUACCAGAUCGCUUGAUUGUGUGUAGUGGUUAGUAAGCAUCAUAGGCCGCUACUGUUUACCCAAUGCAUCCAUGGCUAGCCACCUCUUCUUACUAAGAAGCGUCAGCCCCAAUAAAUGGAAUUGUAAGGUUAGCUUCUUUGUAAGUUUCUCUUCGUGAAUCCAAUCUGAGGAGCGUAGAUAUGGGGAAAAAUAUAGCUCCAGAUGCAGAGCUUCACUUUUAUAUAGGCAAAGACAGAUUUGUGAGAAUAACUCUUUACACCGAAAGAUUCUUCUGAUGGCUUGCACACGGGUUAAUGGCAUCAACAAGCAAGGAAACAUCACUAUGCUAGAUAAAAAUGGAGGGGAGAAACAUGUGGUGAAUCUUCUGCAGAGCAAAAUAAAAAACAGAACCAUCUUAAUGUGGAGCAUCUUUGCCUCACGUCUGUGUAUUCCGUUCGACGUUGGCUAGCAGUGGCGGAAAGUUUUGUUCUAUUACUUGGGUUUUAAGUUAUCAUUUGGCUGCUGGAACAUGAGUUAAAAGAGACAUUGUCAUCUUCUUAUAUCAAAUCCAUGAAAAGACUAUCAGGAUUUACUGUGUUAUGGGUAAUUGUUAUAGCUUUCAAGAAAAUUAUGAGAUAUUGUGUUCAAAUGCAUUUCAAAAUAAGUGAAGAGAUUCUAAGAAAA